UCAAUAAGCGGAGGAAAAGAAACUAACCAGGAUUCCCCUAGUAACGGCGAGUGAAGCGGGAAGAGCUCAAAUUUGUAAUCUGGCGGUCUCUGGCCGUCCGAGUUGUAGUCUGGAGAAGCGUCUUCCGUGCCGGACCGUGUACAAGUCCCUUGGAACAGGGCGUCGUAGAGGGUGAGAAUCCCGUCUCUGACACGGACUGCCGGUGCUCUGUGAUGCGCUCUCGAAGAGUCGAGUUGUUUGGGAAUGCAGCUCAAAAUGGGUGGUAAAUUCCAUCUAAAGCUAAAUAUUGGCGAAAGACCGAUAGCGAACAAGUACCGUGAGGGAAAGAUGAAAAGCACUUUGGAAAGAGAGUUAAACAGUACGUGAAAUUGUUGAAAGGGAAACGCUUGGAGUCAGUCACGUCUUCCGAGACUCAGUCAGGGUUCUCCCUGGUGCACUUCUCGGUCUGACGGGCCAGCAUCGAUUUUGACCGUCGGAGAAAGGCUGUGGGAAUGUGGCACCUCCGGGUGUGUUAUAGCCCUCUGUCGUAUGUGAUGGUCGGGAUUGAGGACCGCAGCGUGCCCUUCACCGGGCCGGGGUUCGCCCACGUAACGCGCUUAGGAUGCUGGCGUAAUGGCUUCAA
RNAcentral lists this ribosomal RNA (622 nucleotides) under Hysterangium album. RNAcentral's name for it is "eukaryotic LSU rRNA". It matches the Rfam family "Eukaryotic large subunit ribosomal RNA", at positions 43 to 643 of the family's 3401-position model. The record is from RNAcentral. Lineage: Eukaryota; Fungi; Basidiomycota; Agaricomycetes; Hysterangiales; Hysterangiaceae.